This 403-nucleotide ribosomal RNA is filed under the name uncultured bacterium. RNAcentral's name for it is "bacterial SSU rRNA". It matches the Rfam family "Bacterial small subunit ribosomal RNA", at positions 355 to 774 of the family's 1533-position model. The record is from RNAcentral.
UGAGGAAUAUUGCUCAAUGGGCGAAAGCCUGAAGCAGCAACGCCGCGUGCGCGAUGAAGGUCUUCGGAUCGUAAAGCGCUUUUGAGAGGGACGAGAUAGGACGGUACCUCUUGAAUAAGUCACGGCUAACUACGUGCCAGCAGCCGCGGUAAAACGUAGGUGGCAAGCGUUAUCCGGAUUCACUGGGCGUAAAGCGCGUGCAGGUGGCUUCGUAAGUUGGACGUUAAAUCUUUCGGCCUAACCGGGAGGUGUCGUUCAAUACUGCGGGGCUUGGGGAUAGAAGAGGGGGGUUGACUGGCCGGUGUAGUGGUGAAAUGCGUAGAUGUCGGCAGGAACACCUGUGGCGAAAGCGGCCCCCUGGUCUGCUCCUGACACUCAGACGCGAAAGCUAGGGGAGUGAACG